RNAcentral lists this ribosomal RNA (476 nucleotides) under uncultured bacterium. RNAcentral's name for it is "SSU rRNA". It matches the Rfam family "Bacterial small subunit ribosomal RNA", at positions 26 to 518 of the family's 1533-position model. The record is from RNAcentral.
AGGACAAACGCUGGCGGCGUACUUAACACAUGCAAGUCGAACGGAAAGGCCCGCUUGCGGGUACUCGAGUGGCGAACGGGUGAGUAACACGUGGGCAACCUGCCCUCAGCUUCGGGAUAACACUUGGAAACAGGUGCUAAUACCGGAUAAUAACCUUUCAUCGCAUGGUGUGGGGUUCAAAGUUUUUCGGCUGGGGAUGGGCCCGCGGCCUAUCAGCUUGUUGGUGGGGUAAUGGCCUACCAAGGCGACGACGGGUAGCCGGCCUGAGAGGGCGACCGGCCACACUGGGACUGAGACACGGCCCAGACUCCUACGGGAGGCAGCAGUGGGGAAUAUUGCGCAAUGGGCGGAAGCCUGACGCAGCGACGCCGCGUGAGGGAUGACGGCCUUCGGGUUGUAAACCUCUUUCAGCUCUGACGAAGCGCAAGUGACGGUAGGAGCAGAGAAGCACCGGCCAACUACGCGCCAGCAGCCGC